CACGUAGGGUGCAAGCGUUGUCCGGAAUUAUUGGGCGUAAAGAGCUCGUAGGCGGUGUGUCACGUCGGCCGUGAAAACCUGCAGCUUAACUGUGGGCGUGCGGUCGAUACGGGGCAUCACUGGAGUUCGGCAGGGGAGACUGGAAUUCCUGGUGUAGCGGUGAAAUGCGCAGAUAUCAGGAGGAACACCGGUGGCGAAGGCGACUACCUGGCCUGUUUCUUGACGGCUGAGGC
RNAcentral lists this ribosomal RNA (233 nucleotides) under uncultured bacterium. RNAcentral's name for it is "partial 16S ribosomal RNA". It matches the Rfam family "Bacterial small subunit ribosomal RNA", at positions 524 to 752 of the family's 1533-position model. The record is from RNAcentral.